GUAUCUUUUCCCCAGUUUUGGGGGAGAUUUGGGGCGUCUCUUCUGAGUGCCCUUAAAGCUAUAGCUUGACACUGAACGAGUGCGGGAGCGUAUGUAUUUGAAACUCUUUGAGUGCCCUAUACGAAACUCUGGCGCAAGCUCGGGCUGGGCCAAGUCCACCACGGAGGUUUGAAAAAGAACCCGAA
RNAcentral lists this unclassified non-coding RNA (185 nucleotides) under Terramyces subangulosum. RNAcentral describes it as "partial internal transcribed spacer 2". Lineage: Eukaryota; Fungi; Chytridiomycota; Chytridiomycetes; Rhizophydiales; Terramycetaceae. The record is from RNAcentral.